Molecule: transfer RNA, 76 nt
Filed under: Deltaproteobacteria bacterium
Lineage: Bacteria; Pseudomonadati; Myxococcota; Myxococcia
Description: tRNA-Gln
Rfam family: tRNA
About the family: Transfer RNA (tRNA) molecules are approximately 80 nucleotides in length.
Source: RNAcentral
UGAGGCGUGGUGUAACUGGCAACAUCUCUGACUCUGACUCAGAAGACUCUAGGUUCGACCCCUAGCGCCUCAACCA